UACGGCGGGCGCGAGCGGUACCCGGAUUUACUGGGUGUAAAGGGCGUGUAGGCGGUCUCUCAAGUCCGAUGCUAAAGACCGAAGCUCAACUUCGGGGGUGCGUUGGAUACUGUGAGGCUAGACGGUCGGAGGGGGUAGCGGAAUUUCCGGAGUAGCGGUGAAAUGCGCAGAUACCGGAAGGAACGCCGAUAGCGAAGGCAGCUACCUGGACGAUUGGUGACGCUGAGACGCGAAAGCGUGGGGAGCAAACCGG
RNAcentral lists this ribosomal RNA (253 nucleotides) under uncultured bacterium. RNAcentral's name for it is "partial 16S ribosomal RNA". It matches the Rfam family "Bacterial small subunit ribosomal RNA", at positions 524 to 776 of the family's 1533-position model. The record is from RNAcentral.